Parus major (Great Tit) is the source of this 1155-nucleotide long non-coding RNA. RefSeq lists it as uncharacterized. Lineage: Eukaryota; Metazoa; Chordata; Aves; Passeriformes; Paridae. The record is from RefSeq and is a predicted model, not a curated record. The transcript has 3 exons.
UUCCUUCCUUUCCUUCCUUACCUUCCUUGUCAGAACUGGAUUUUCAUUAAUGAUUCUCCCUUCCAGGUUUGAGUUUUAUUGGGGGGAAAUGCAGUUCUUGGAGGGGUUCAGCAGCAGAAUUUGGUUCGAGGUGGGGAGAAAAUGGGAGAUUGAGUUUGCCCUGAGUGACAAAAGGUGGGAGCUGGUGGUGGGCAACACCUGGAGAAGCUUUGAAAUGGGAAAGAAAAGGGACAGGAGCCCCUUUUUGGGUCACACACAUCCCAGGAGAAAGCCCAAACUCUCCUGGAGCCAUUUCUGAGUGUAAAACACAACAAAAUGUGGGUUUAUCCUGGCCUGGAGCUGCAGGAGCUCCCACCUGAGGCUCUGCCCGGGGCUGGGAGGGGUUAAUGAACAGUGGGAUUAAUGAACAGUGGGGUUAAUGAACAGUGGGGUUAAUGAACAGUGGGGUUAAUGAACAGUGGGGUUAAUGAACAGUGGGGUUAAUGAACAAUGGGGGUUAAUUCAAACAGCUGGCUGGGUGGGGGAAUGAUUCCCUGAUGAAUAAUUCCCAAUAUUUCCCAAAUCAGCUUGGGACAGGGAAGGAACACCUCGGUGUAGGCCAGGCCUGAUGAGCCACUUUUGUCCCUGCCAGUGGUGACCCCAGAGCUCAUCCUCAGAUGGAUUUGGGAUCCACCUUUCCUGGGAGCUGCUCUCCAGCACAGAUGUCGUUUCCAUGUGGUUUCCAGCUGGUCAGGGCUGAACCUCAAACCACCUCCGAGCUGGGAUGAGGCAGAGGAGAGGAAAUUCCAGCAGAAAUUCCAGUUUUUCUCCUGAUCCUCACGGUGUGCUGGAGUUCCCAUGGGACUGGGUGAUAUCCUGGUUUUUCCUGAAGUGAAAUAUGGAGUGUUGACGGCUGCUGGGUGAUCUGGGCAUCACCAAGUGCUGGUUGGUGAAAUAUUUAAUUUUGGAGAUUUUAUUCUGUUUCCCUCUGGCUGCUGGGGAGAUUUGGAAUUGUCCCAUUGAGUGGGGAUGGAGGUUUUUGGAUUGGAAUAAUCCCCCUGCUGUGGAUGCUGAAUUUCCUCUCUCCCUUUUAUCUUCCCUGAAAAUACAACCACAGGAGCUGGGAGCUUUUUUCUGGAGGAAAAUAUUCAGAAAUAAAGGUUUGAAACCAGCAGA